UUGUUUCCUCCAUACGUGUUAACAAAGGAGUUUGCCACCAAAUAUUUUUGACUUCUCUUUAUUCUUGAAAUUUGUCCAAGUUCAUGGCAAUUCAGUUCUUACUCCUCUUCUAUAUGUGGCAAAACCAGAAACUUUGAAUUGACAAAUGUCUGAUUUCUUUCUCCUAUUUCUAUGACUCACCAUGUCAAGAAAUUCAUAUAAAUAUCCAUUGAAACUCCAUUGUUCUUCAAUCUGAAAACCAAUUAAUAUUUUGUAUUACUAAGCUUAAUUCAUUUCCCUUCUAUUUAUUUCCUUGAUUUUUCACCAUUAAUAAUUACCCAUUUUCUCUCUCCUCCUUUGACCACCGUGGUACCGCCGCUACCGCCACCACCUACUUCCGGCGAAUCUCCCCGCGUCACCUUCUUUCCGUCGCCGGAAUCCACCGUGGCCUUUGCUGCUACGGUGUGUUGAUGUUGUUGUUUUUAUGCGUGAGCUGCUGCUCCAUUCUUGUUGCUUUUAACUUCUGCAUUUCCAUUUCAUGACAAAUGAAUGUCAAAGUUUGAAGAGGGGUUGUUAAUUUAAGUGGGCCUUAGUUUUAUUAAGGGGAAACUAUUGUCAUAGGCUUGAAAAUGUAAGUGGAUCGUAAGUUGUGAUGGAGGAGCAAGUAUUAUGGGCUUUGACCAAAAAUUUAAGGAAAACCAUGAAGCAAACUACGUAUUUGGAGGAUUAAUUAAUGAUGAUGUAGCUUAUCGAUGUCAAAUCAAAAUGGUUGAAGGAAAAGUGAUUAAGGUUCACCGACUGAGGUUCGAUUAAGGAGCUCAAGCUGCUCAAAUGAGAGUUAUUACUGGAGUUGGUUAUUUAUUAUGGAGAUAUCGAGAUGAGAAAUUAUUUAUUAUGGAAAUCAUGUUAUUGAGGUUGUUAUAAGAAUAUUGAUUUAUAUUUAUUUUUGGAAAAUUUGUAUUAUUUAAGAAAUGUUAUUUGAGGAUUAUUUUAUUUGUGGGCCCAUACCCACAGGUCCCAGGAUUAAUUAAACCUAAUUCCGCUGCUAAUGAUCAGUUAAGUGCGGUUUAUUACCGAUAAUUAAGGAGCCGAA
This is a long non-coding RNA of Spinacia oleracea (spinach), 1072 nucleotides long. RefSeq lists it as uncharacterized. NCBI's taxonomy places the organism in Eukaryota, Viridiplantae, Streptophyta, Magnoliopsida, Caryophyllales, Amaranthaceae. The record is from RefSeq and is a predicted model, not a curated record. The transcript has 3 exons.